Molecule: long non-coding RNA, 675 nt
Organism: Rhineura floridana
Lineage: Eukaryota; Metazoa; Chordata; Lepidosauria; Squamata; Rhineuridae
Exons: 3
Source: RefSeq, a predicted model, not a curated record
GCCGGACUGGAUCCUCGCAAGAGCCCUCCUCCGGGUCCUGGGGCGGGGAGAGGAGGGGCGGCAGCCGCCGCGGAGGCAGCCGGCAGGGGCCCUCCCGGGGGCGGCGGCGUGAGCGAAAACCCACCGCGGGCGGCCAUGGCAAGCUGAGUUGGGUGAGGAAGUCUGUCGAGGCAACGGCCGUAUAAACGCUUCAAGCGCGACCGAUAAAAGGAAGCGGCACUGGCUGACUGACGAAGCGGGCGGCUCGGAACAAGCUGUGGACUCCUCCUUUGGGACCGCCCCAAUCAACCGCCAGAGCCCGGCCCGGCCCUGCAGCGGGGAAAGGAGGAGGAAGGGACACAAGCGCCUCUCGGGGCGGGCUGACGGCCCAGCGCAGCCGCUUCGACGCGCCAAACAACCGCCUCAGAGACAGACACGCGGGCUGGCGGGGAACAGUGUCUCUCACAUAGAGGAGAGACAUUCAUCCUCACAUGCAGGUAAGCUUUGUGUUGGCAAAGGCCAGACACUCCACUGCUUCAACCACUGCUGGCCACACACUUCUGAGCACUCUGGCCUUGUGAGAUCACAGCCCAGAUACAUGCAGCUGAAUAAGCUGCUCCUGCACACAGUUCUCCUGCAACCUCCAAAGAGGCAAGGGAUCUCCUCCAUUCCGGAUGCUGGUUAAUAAAGUUUAUG